GUAGGUGAACCUGCGGAAGGAUCAUUAUCGAACGAACGUUAGAGUCGGUUGUAGCUGGCCCUCCGGGGCAUGUGCACGCCUUCUCUUUCAUCCACACACACCUGUGCACUCGUGAGACGGAAGCCAAAGCCGCCGCCCCUUAGGGGGUGGGGGGAGGAGGAGUCUGUCUGCUCUACAUAAACUCACAUGUCUGAACCGAAUGUAAUCGACGUAAACACGUCUUUGAACUAAGUUUCAACAACGGAUCUCUUGGCUCUC
This 258-nucleotide unclassified non-coding RNA is filed under the name rhizosphere metagenome. RNAcentral describes it as "partial ribosomal RNA internal transcribed spacer region". The record is from RNAcentral.